Molecule: transfer RNA, 66 nt
Filed under: Mene maculata
Lineage: Eukaryota; Metazoa; Chordata; Actinopteri; Menidae
Description: tRNA-Cys
Rfam family: tRNA
About the family: Transfer RNA (tRNA) molecules are approximately 80 nucleotides in length. Their secondary structure includes four short double-helical elements and three loops (D, anti-codon, and T loops).
Source: RNAcentral
GGCCCUGAGGUGUAAAACAUAUUAGAUUGCAAAUCUGAAGAAGCGGCUUAAUCUCCGCCGGGGCUU